GAUGAACGCUGGCGGCGUGCCUAACACAUGCAAGUCGAACGCUCUCGCGCAAGCGAGAGAGUGGCGGACGGGUGAGGAACACGUGGGUGAUCUACCCAAAGGUGAGGAAUACCGGCGAGAAAUCGCCGACAAUACCGCAUACGUUUCGCAAGAAACAAAGUCGCAAGACGCCUCUGGAUGAGCCUGCGUCCGAUUAGCUAGCUGGUGGGGUAAAAGCCUACCAGGGCAACGAUCGGUAGCUGGUCUGAGAGGACGAUCAGCCACACUGGGAUUGAGAACGGCCCAGACUCCUACGGGAGGCAG
RNAcentral lists this ribosomal RNA (303 nucleotides) under uncultured Chloroflexota bacterium. RNAcentral's name for it is "bacterial SSU rRNA". It matches the Rfam family "Bacterial small subunit ribosomal RNA", at positions 28 to 351 of the family's 1533-position model. Lineage: Bacteria; Bacillati; Chloroflexota. The record is from RNAcentral.